This 512-nucleotide ribosomal RNA is filed under the name uncultured bacterium. Its description in RNAcentral is "partial 16S ribosomal RNA". It matches the Rfam family "Bacterial small subunit ribosomal RNA", at positions 28 to 523 of the family's 1533-position model. The record is from RNAcentral.
GAUGAACGCUGGCGGCGUGCCUAAUACAUGCAAGUCGAGCGAACAGAUAAGGAGCUUGCUCCUUUGAAGUUAGCGGCGGACGGGUGAGAACACGUGGAUAACCUACCUAUAAGACUGGGAUAACUUCGGGAAACCGGAGCUAAUACCGGAUAACAUUUAGAACCGCAUGGUUCUAAAGUGAAAGAUGGUCUCGCUAUCACUUAUAGAUGGACCCGCGCCGUAUUAGCUAGUUGGUAAGGUAACGGCUUACCAAGGCGACGAUACGUAGCCGACCUGAGAGGGUGAUCGGCCACACUGGAACUGAGACACGGUCCAGACUACUACGGGAGGCAGCAGUAGGGAAUCUUCCGCAAUGGGCGAAAGCCUGACGGAGCAACGCCGCGUGAGUGAUGAAGGGUUUCGGCUCGUAAAACUCUGUUAUUAGGGAAGAACAAAUGUGUAAGUAACUGUGCACAUCUUGACGGUACCUAAUCAGAAAGCCACGGCUAACUACGUGCCAGCCGCCGCAGUAA